Ribosomal RNA from Dothistroma septosporum NZE10, 120 nucleotides. NCBI's taxonomy places the organism in Eukaryota, Fungi, Ascomycota, Dothideomycetes, Mycosphaerellales, Mycosphaerellaceae. The record is from Rfam.
ACAUACGGCCAUAGGUUGGUGGAAGCAAGGGAUCCUGUCCGCUCUCCCAUAUUUAAGCACCGAACCGCAAGACUAGUACUACGGUGGGUGACCACGUGGGAAUCCCUUGUGCUGUAUGUU